This 496-nucleotide ribosomal RNA is filed under the name uncultured bacterium. RNAcentral's name for it is "partial 16S ribosomal RNA". It matches the Rfam family "Bacterial small subunit ribosomal RNA", at positions 28 to 507 of the family's 1533-position model. The record is from RNAcentral.
GAUGAACGCUGGCGGCGUGCCUAAUACAUGCAAGUCGAGCGAACGGACGAGAAGCUUGCUUUUCUGAUGUUAGCGGCGGACGGGUGAGUAACACGUGGAUAACCUACCUAUAAGACUGGGAUAACUUCGGGAAACCGGAGCUAAUACCGGAUAAUAUUUUGAACCGCAUGGUUCAAAAGUGAAAGACGGUCUUGCUGUCACUAUAGAUGGAUCCGCGCUGCAUUAGCUAGUUGGUAAGGUAACGGCUUACCAAGGCAACGAUGCAUAGCCGACCUGAGAGGGUGAUCGGCCACACUGGAACUGAGACACGGUCCAGACUCCUACGGGAGGCAGCAGUAGGGAAUCUUCCGCAAUGGGCGAAAGCCUGACGGAGCAACGCCGCGUGAGUGAUGAAGGCCUUCGGAUCGUAAAACUCUGUUAUUAGGGAAGAACAUAUGUGUAAGUAACUGUGCACAUCUUGACGGUACCUAAUCAGAAAGCCACGGCUAACUACGUG